This 552-nucleotide unclassified non-coding RNA is filed under the name Paraphoma fimeti. Its description in RNAcentral is "sequence contains 28S rRNA gene". The record is from RNAcentral. Lineage: Eukaryota; Fungi; Ascomycota; Dothideomycetes; Pleosporales; Phaeosphaeriaceae.
CUAUGCCCAAAUUUGACGAUCGAUUUGCACGUCAGAACCGCUGCGAGCCUCCACCAGAGUUUCCUCUGGCUUCACCCUAUUCAAGCAUAGUUCACCAUCUUUCGGGUCCCAACAGCCAUGCUCUUACUCAAAUCCAUCCGAAGACAUCAGGAUCGGUCGAUGGUGCACCCAAAGGGUUCCCACCUCCGUUCACUUUCAUUACGCGUCUGGGCUUGACACCCAAACACUCGCAUAGAUGUUAGACUCCUUGGUCCGUGUUUCAAGACGGGCCGCUUACAGCCAUUACGCCAGCAUCCUAGCAGAUGCGCGGACCUCAGUCCAGGCUGGUUGCAUGUCGUCUCCCCUAUAAGGCCUCCCCGAAGAGAGGUACAUGACAGAGACCUUUAUCCAACCGCCCAAACUGAUGCUGGCCUGCCCGCAGAAGAGUGCACUGGACAAAAGUCCAGAUAAGCAACUACAGGCAAGUCUGGCUGCAAGCGCUUCCCUUUCAACAAUUUCACGUGCUAUUUGACUCUCUUUCCAAAGUGCUUUUCAUCUUUCGAUCACUCUACU